CGCCUAAAACCUAGCUUUACUUACACGCAUAAACACCCAACAACUUUUUUCCUACGAUAAAACAUUUUUUCUAUUUAGUAGAGGCGAUCAAAAAAUAUCUUAAAGCUAUAAAAGUAGUACCGCAAGGGAAAGGUGAAAUAGUAAUGAAAUAACCUUUAAGCCAAAAAAAGCAGAGAUAAAACCUCGUACCUUUUGCAUCAUGGUUUAGCUAGUCUAACCAAGCAAAAUGCAUUUUAGUUUGACCCCCCGAAACUAAGCGAGCUACUUUAAAACAGCCUUCAGAGCUAACCCGUCUCUGUUGCAAAAGAGUGGGAAGAUUUUAAAGUAGAGGUGAUAAACCUACCGAGCUUAGAGAUAGCUGGUUAUUCAGGAAAGGGAUUUAAGUCCUACCUUAAGUUUUUCUAUAACUUCUAAUACUUC
This 420-nucleotide ribosomal RNA is filed under the name Microhyla arboricola (tree-dwelling narrow-mouth frog). Its description in RNAcentral is "partial large subunit ribosomal RNA". The stretch from base 166 to 420 matches the Rfam family "Bacterial large subunit ribosomal RNA", at positions 566 to 910 of the family's 2925-position model. The record is from RNAcentral. Lineage: Eukaryota; Metazoa; Chordata; Amphibia; Anura; Microhylidae.